GGCAAGGAGCCUAAGAAAGACUCCUGAAGGGGUAUGGGCUGACAUGCUUCCUGGGCUAUGUGUAAGUACUCAAUUAUUAUUAUUAUUAUUAUUAUUUUUGGAGUAGAAAAAGAUUUAUUGCACACCUUGCAAGGAGGUGGGUGGCUCAGUCCCUAAAAAAACAUGGGCUUCCCAAAGGGUUUUGACAAAGCAUUUUUAAAAGCCAGGUCAGCACUCAAUUAUUAAGGUUCUCUUAUUUGGAGUUUAUAGUUUACCAAAAGAUUGCACUUGCAUAUUCUAGUUUAUCCUACUGACAGUCUCAUGAGGUAUGUAUAAUUGUCCUUAUUUUACAGAUGAAGACACUGAGGCCCAGAGAUGAUCAGUGAUUUGCUCCAAGUCACUGUCUUGUAAUUGACUCAUUUGAUUUGUGCAGUUUCCAAACUACUCCAUCUGGACCAGACAGCCAGGGGGAGCCUCCCUCACAGGGAAGGACCAGGGCAUCGAUCCCACCUGCUGGGCUCCCUCAGGGCCUGUGUGUUUUCUAAUGAGCUCUAAAAUGGAAGCAGUGUGUUCCAAGGACAGGACUCAAUGAAGAAGGUCCUUUGGACCAAAGAAAUUGACAAGAGGUGGAGGAUUUAGAUUCAAUGAACCUUCACUGAUAGCCUACCAUGGACCCAACACUA
Molecule: long non-coding RNA, 662 nt
Organism: Mesoplodon densirostris (Blainville's beaked whale)
Lineage: Eukaryota; Metazoa; Chordata; Mammalia; Artiodactyla; Ziphiidae
Exons: 3
Source: RefSeq, a predicted model, not a curated record